Molecule: transfer RNA, 17 nt
Filed under: Allophylus africanus
Lineage: Eukaryota; Viridiplantae; Streptophyta; Magnoliopsida; Sapindales; Sapindaceae
Description: partial tRNA-Leu
Source: RNAcentral
GACUUAAAAUCCGUUGA